Molecule: long non-coding RNA, 2776 nt
Organism: Cygnus olor (mute swan)
Lineage: Eukaryota; Metazoa; Chordata; Aves; Anseriformes; Anatidae
Exons: 3
Source: RefSeq, a predicted model, not a curated record
GUCUGGAUAAAAACUUUGCAUCUCAAAUAAAAUUAUUUAGGAGGUUAUACAGAUUUCCAUGUAAACGCUUGCCUUUGGGUUUCACAUAAAGCUCUGCCCAGGGGCGUUUAUGCCUGCCAGGAUGGAAAUGAAAGGUGUAAGCUGCUCCCAGUGCCUAUGUAUGCAUAACACCCACACUGAAGGAGAAAGCUCUCAUCUCUACCAAACUGUUUAAGUAAAUGAAAUGGCAGCAAACAACAGAGAGAUCUCAUACAAUCCCGCAAGUAGAGAUGGGUUUGGCUAUGCCAAUGGUUCAGGAGAGGCCUGAUUCUGUCAUCCUCUGGGUACUGAAUUCAGAGCAUCUGUGGUGUCCUGCACCAAGCCCAACAUCCUAACUUGCCACUGAUUUACAUUACACACAACAUAUUAACCGUGGUAGCCAUCAGACAGCACAGAAAAGUCCACCGUCAACAAGGAAGUUAAGUAUCCUGUGCGCUGGUGCAUGAGCCCACACCUGCAGGCGCUGCAGGAGCUGCCCUACUCGCACGCUCCACUUGGGCGGGUGGCUCUUGACAUGCAGCGCUAUAGGUGAGGACCGACAGCUGAUGGAGCAUCUUUCAGCUGCCUUUCUCAAAGAAAUAUGAUUGAAGUUGGCCAAUAUUAAUAUCUCCUGCCCCAAAGACAAACAAAUCAAUUUUUGCUAGCGCACGGCACAAAAAUCCUGUGUGUUUACCAAUGCUUCCUCUGUUUUCUACUGUCAAAUAUUAUCCUGAGCUAAAGAGAUUUUUCAAUUAUAUUGUUUCUAAAUGACUGUGUAAAUCUGGCAAAAGAGAUAGGGAAAAAUCUGCCCUAUUGCAGAUUCCUGAUCAGGUACAUUGAAAAUGUUUUCUGAUUAGUCCUGUCUGUACCUGAGCAUUUGGACCCCUGUUCAGAGCAGGCUGUGCUGGCAGUUCAGCUUCUGCAGUCCCUCACUGCUACUCAUCCGUUUUCAUAAUGUCACUAGAUCACGGCUCCAUGGUGAACUUCGGGCAUGUGCCCCUUAUGACAUCGACUUGGCUGAGGCAGAAGGCUGUACCCAGGGGAGAAGGAGCCAGCCCAACGGAGGCUUGGCUGCAAUUUUACCCAUUAGAUGUUUGAGAGCAACUCCAUCAACUGUGAUACAUUAAUACACAAGGUGCCAAGCUUUAGCUCAGCUCACCCCCGUUUUACAGGGUGAGACAAAGCACUGAGACUCGGAUGGGGGGAAGGCGAUGUGGCCGGCUCAGAGGGAUCAGCUGCUCUGCCCGCAGCCAGCAGCAGCUCCCACUGCAGCCCCACCACCCCAGAGACAAUACACCUUCAGAGAUCUCAAUCCCCUCCAAGAUCGAAUGAACAACAUUCUUACUUCAGCUUUUGUGAAAGCACGCGCAGGGAUGGAUACUUUGGCAACCCAUUUGUAUUCAUUCAGAUUGUCACAACUGAAUUCUGCUUAUGAGACAGCGCGAGCCCCAGCAAGUCAGUUGACUUUGUAGGUGAAGAUACAGGAAAUCACCUGCUUUUUCUUUUAUCAAAACGUUUGGGUGAUCUGGUUGCUUGGCCACUCAGCCUGGGCUUUGCUCCCCCUUGGCACCAUGACGCAUUGCUCCCCGCUAGAGCUGCCUUUCCAGAAUGUGUGACCAAGACAGCAAGUUAAUUGUGUAUGGGAAACUUUCAUCCUGGCAUCACCAUCUUCUGGGUGCUCAACUUGGCACCACUCAUGUGCUGUUGGGGAGGACUUGUCUGCAGAUGAGGGAAGAUCAACUUGAAACCAGCGUCCCUGCUGGAAGAACCGUCGUGGAAGAGGGAACAUAAAUCAUGCUUCUUAUGCAGCUAUAACAGCUCAAGUGCAUCUCACGAUGCUGAAGGAAGAGCACUUUUCCAAUAAAUCCAAGGGUAAGCAAGGGCUGGAGGUUGCUGAGUCAGCUAUUUGGAGCACAAACACCAACUGCUCCUUACUGCUGGUAAACUGCGUCCGGUCGGUCAAGAGCGAGCGUCACACACUGCAGCCCUGCUCAGUGCAAAUGUCACAGGAAUCUCUCUACAGAUCCUGGUAGCCCCCAAAAAGGACUGCCUGGGGAAACCACUGUGUGUGCCGACCUGCACUACUCACGUUUUUUGCGUCUGCAGCCGCCCACCGCACUGCAGUUAAGCAGGGGGGGCGUCCUGUCGGUGGCAGAAGGAACAUUUGGUGCCUGGGCGAUAGGUAAACACGCAUCGCUUCAGCCCCAGCAAGACAAACAGACAGCUAUACAGUGCCAGGGAAAAGGGGGAAAUUCCAUCUCAUGUUUUGCUUUAUGCACUUUUACAAAAAAUGCUGCUGGAUUUCCUCCGAGGAGCUCCCACGAGUCAAGGCAUGGCGGUGUGAGGACAACGGGCUGGUUAUAACCAUGCCAGGCAUCACGCAGCCCUCUAACAGCAUGCUCUGCUCCGCUAUCUGUGGCCCUCAGUAGACACCAGGCUGUGGCUGGAGAUGGGGCUGAGAUGCUCCGUGCACCCAGACCUGAGCGAUGCCAAUGGGCAUCUCCAGCAAAUCCCCGUACCACGCUACUGACAGGCGAGUGACUCACUGAAAUUUGCUUUCAAACCAAAAUAAAUGGAAAAGAACUAUCAUGGCAUUUUGUAUACACGAAGCCAGGACAUACUGCCUAAUUUCUUAAUUUUUGCCAAAUUCCACUAACACGCUACUGCUUAUAACAUAAGCCACAGACAAUCCCCAAAGGAGCAAGUUCCUGCAGGCGCUACAUGUCCGUCCGCACCCCCCAAGGCAGCUCAGCACCCU